Molecule: ribosomal RNA, 224 nt
Filed under: Jingyaoa shaoxingensis
Lineage: Bacteria; Bacillati; Bacillota; Clostridia; Lachnospirales; Lachnospiraceae
Description: partial 16S ribosomal RNA
Rfam family: Bacterial small subunit ribosomal RNA
Source: RNAcentral
UUUAUUUUGAGAGUUUGAUCCUGGCUCAGGAUGAACGCUGGCGGCGUGCUUAACACAUGCAAGUCGAGCGAAGCGCUUAAGAAAGAUUCUUCGGAGGAAAUCUUAUGUGACUGAGCGGCGGACGGGUGAGUAACGCGUGGGUAACCUGCCUCAUACAGGGGGAUAACAGUUAGAAAUGACUGCUAAUACCGCAUAAGCGCACAGUGCCGCAUGGCACCGUGUGA